Molecule: ribosomal RNA, 492 nt
Filed under: uncultured bacterium
Lineage: Bacteria
Description: partial 16S ribosomal RNA
Rfam family: Bacterial small subunit ribosomal RNA
Source: RNAcentral
AGUGAACGCUGGCGGUAGGCCUAACACAUGCAAGUCGAACGGCAGCACAGUAAGAGCUUGCUCUUACGGGUGGCGAGUGGCGGACGGGUGAGGAAUACAUCGGAAUCUACUUUUUCGUGGGGGAUAACGUAGGGAAACUUACGCUAAUACCGCAUACGACCUACGGGUGAAAGCAGGGGAUCUUCGGACCUUGCGCGAUUGAAUGAGCCGAUGUCGGAUUAGCUAGUUGGCGGGGUAAAGGCCCACCAAGGCGACGAUCCGUAGCUGGUCUGAGAGGAUGAUCAGCCACACUGGAACUGAGACACGGUCCAGGCUCCUACGGGAGGAAACAGUGGGGAAUAUUGGACAAUAGGCGCAAGCCUGAUCCAGCCAUACCACGUGGGUGAAGAAGGCCUUCGGGUUGUAAAGCCCUUUUGUUGGGAAAGAAAAGCAGCAGGUUAAUACCCCGCUGUUCUGACGGUACCCAAAGAAUAAGCACCGGCUAAAUUCGUG